This 69-nucleotide transfer RNA is filed under the name Marmota marmota marmota (Alpine marmot). It matches the Rfam family "tRNA". From Rfam's summary of the family: Transfer RNA (tRNA) molecules are approximately 80 nucleotides in length. Their secondary structure includes four short double-helical elements and three loops (D, anti-codon, and T loops). Further hydrogen bonds mediate the characteristic L-shaped molecular structure. tRNAs have two regions of fundamental functional importance: the anti-codon, which is responsible for specific mRNA codon recognition, and the 3' end, to which the tRNAs corresponding amino acid is attached (by aminoacyl-tRNA synthetases). tRNAs cope with the degeneracy of the genetic code in two manners: having more than one tRNA (with a specific anti-codon) for a particular amino acid; and 'wobble' base-pairing, i.e. permitting non-standard base-pairing at the 3rd anti-codon position. Lineage: Eukaryota; Metazoa; Chordata; Mammalia; Rodentia; Sciuridae. RNAcentral also lists the same sequence under 1 other name. The record is from Rfam by way of RNAcentral.
GGGGUUGUGGCUCAGAGGUAGAGUGCUCGCCUACCAUGCGUGAGGCACCGGGUACAAUCCUCAACACCA